CUGCUGCUGAUGAGAUCUAACCAGGUCGAAACAGCUGUCCAACAG
This is a non-coding RNA of Echinostoma caproni, 45 nucleotides long. NCBI's taxonomy places the organism in Eukaryota, Metazoa, Platyhelminthes, Trematoda, Plagiorchiida, Echinostomatidae. The record is from Rfam.